Molecule: unclassified non-coding RNA, 1635 nt
Filed under: uncultured fungus
Lineage: Eukaryota; Fungi
Description: sequence contains 18S rRNA gene, ITS1, 5.8S rRNA gene, ITS2, 28S rRNA gene
Rfam family: Eukaryotic large subunit ribosomal RNA (bases 503-1635)
Source: RNAcentral
GGAAGGAUCAUUGACACAUUAAUCCAAUAUCUACCUUGUGAGAACUUGUGAUUUGUUUUUUCAUUUUAAACGUUUUCAUUUAACCAAUAAUUAGCUGCAAAUGAACAAUUCUCGGAUUGUUCAUUUGCACUUUACAUAACCAAAAACAACUGCUAGCAACGGAUGUCUUGGUUCUCGCAACGAUGAAGAACGCAGCGAAAUGCGAUAAUUAAUGUGAAUCGUAGAAUUCAGUGAAUCAUCAAAUCUUUGAACGCAAAUGGCACUCCAGGGUACUCCCUGGAGUAUGCCUGUUUGAGAAUCAUCACCCCAUCUCACCUUCAUUCUUUUGAAGGUGGUGAAUGAGCGUCAUCUGAGGGUCUACUCACGGAUGUCGCCUAAAGUGCAUGGCGCGAUUUAACAAGUCGUCCUCACACUCGGAAAGAUAAGGAAUAACUUUCUUCAUUCUUCUAGAGUGUUCAGGGUACUUUAGCGUCCAUUUGGGUUCAACCCACCAUUCACACUGUGAUCUCAAAUCAGGCAAGGCUACCCGCUGAAUUUAAGCAUAUAACUAAGCGGAGGAAAAGAAACUAACUAGGAUUCCCCCAGUAACGGCGAGUGAAGCGGGAAAAGCUCAACAUUAAAAUCGGAGAGGUCUCCUCUUCGAAUUGUAGUUUAGAGAGGCGUAUCGGGGGCGUGGGCAGGUCUAAGUGCCUUGGAACAGGACGCCAUAGAGGGUGACAGCCCCGUCUUUGGCUUGCUUACACCGUCUCCAUACGAUGCGCUUUCGAAGAGUCGAGUUGUUUGGGAAUGCAGCUCCAAAAGGGUGGUAAAUUUCAUCUAAAGCUAAAUAACGGCGAGAGACCGAUAGCGAACAAGUACCGUGAGGGAAAGAUGAAAAGAACUUUGAAAAGAGAGUUAAAAGGGCCUGAAAUUGUUAGCAGGGAAACGAUUGAAACUUGGGAUAUGCGCAGGAAAUGGGUUUGGAUUCGUUGGGCACCUUUCUACAUACGAUCGCAAGACGGCAUGUGGGGAGUAUGUACCAUUGAUCUUUGCCUCUCUUUCCUGCGUGUUUGCCAACAUCAGUUUAUGCUUCAGGUUAGUGCCUGCGGGAAGGUAGGUGGGCUCUCGGGCUCACUGUUUAUAGACCGUGGGAGGAACUGUUGUGUAGACUGAGGUACUUUUCAGUGUGCGCUUAGCGGUGGGUCUGGCUCCUGAGUAUUGCAUAUUUUCGGGACAGUCUGACUGUGUCGAAUUUUGCUUUGCUUACCGAGUCAGUCGCGUCAUCUGCACGCUCAAGAUGUUGGCUUAACGGUUUUAAUUGACCCGUCUUGAAACACGGACCAAGGAGUCUAGCACAUAUGCGAGUAUUUGGGUGCCAAACCCAAGUGCGGAAUUAACGUGAAGGCACUUUUUGGAGUGCUUAGGUGUGAGCCAUGGCUCUGCUGUGGUGCAGCAUCGACCGAUCUGGAGGUUUUCUGAAAGAUUUGAGUAAGAGCAUAUUUGCUGGGACCCGAAAGAUGGUGAACUAUGCCUGAAUAGGAUGAAGCCAGAGGAAACUCUGGUGGAGGUCCGUAAGGGUUCUGACGUGCAAAUCGAUUUUUAAAUUUGGGUAUAGGGGCGAAAGACUAAUCGAACCAUCUAGUAGCUGGUUCCCUC